ACGUAGGAGGCGAGCGUUAUCCGGAUUUACUGGGCGUAAAGCGCGUGCAGGCGGUUUCUUAAGUCGGACGUGAAAGCUCCUGGCUCAACUAGGAGAGGUCGUUCGAAACUAGGGAACUUGAGGAUGGUAGAGGAGAGUGGAAUUCCCGGUGUAGUGGUGAAAUGCGUAGAUAUCGGGAGGAACACCAGUGGCGAAGGCGGCUCUCUGGGCUAUUCCUGACGCUAAGACGCGAAAGCUAGGGGAGAGAACGGG
Molecule: ribosomal RNA, 252 nt
Filed under: uncultured bacterium
Lineage: Bacteria
Description: partial 16S ribosomal RNA
Rfam family: Bacterial small subunit ribosomal RNA
Source: RNAcentral